GAGGCGACGACUCCCACGCUCCCACCCCCACCCCUCCCAAAAAAAGGGUUUGCCCUAACUUCUCACUCCUGCGGCGGUGCGGCCCUGCCAUCGACCCCUGCGGCGGUCUCCCUCUUCCCUUCCGGCCGCUCGCCGAACGCCAUCGGAAGGCCUCCUCUUCAGAAAUCGAAGAUCGAAGAUCGGGUUCUUCACUCUUCAGAAAUCGAAACCCUCCUCGUCGCCUCUUCCUCUUCCGCUUCCGCUUCCGCUUCCUCUCCCGCUUCCGCUAUCCAACGAUAGAUCAGUAACCGGGUGGUUCUUUACAAACCCAGGUAGGUACGAUUUGAGUUUUUUUCAUUCUUCAAAGAAAAAGUUGGAAGCUUUUAGUCAUCUGAUGGAUACUAGUUUUAUACACAAGUGGCUGAGUGCUUAAUUGAAUGUGUCCAUUCUCUGUUAUGCACAAAGAAGACCCAAACAUAGUGCGAAAUAAAUAAUCUUAAUUAACUUUGGGACCAGGAACUCUUGUAUUAUACCUAAUCAAUUUCAUGAUCUUUCUCGACUCUUGCAAAAGGAAAAUUUUGUUGGGGUCUUUCAUGGACCAUUGACUCACUGGGGUUUCUACUUAAUUUUUGAAACAUAACUUUGGGACCAGGUACUAUUUGAGUUUUCAUUCUUCAAAGCAAAAGUUGGAAGCUUUUACAUUUAAAUAUGGACUAUCUUGACCUCUUAUUUGUGCUAAUAGCAUAAAUCUUGAGAGGAAAAAAAUUUAAUUUAAUAGCCGAAUUUUUGAUCCCGAAUUUUUAAUUGGUGAACGAAUAAUAUCCGUAUAAAUCACGUAUCCGAAUAAUUGGCGAAUCCGUUUUCUAGCCGUUUUUUUCAACGAAUUUAAAAAUUAGAAGACGAAUUUUAUCCGAAUUAUACCCGUAUCGAAUUUUUGCCGAAUCCGAAUUAACUAACUAUGGUUUCAUCUUGGCCCUCAAACAUUUUAAUUAUAUCACUAAUCUAGUCCAUUUAUUUCUCAUGUCUCGCAAACCUGUCGACUAGGAGUGUAAUGUGGACCCUGCCGGGCCGGCAGGGUCCACAUUAGCUGGCCGAAUCAGGCUAAGGGUCGGCCUGGCCCGACCUGGUUUUAAAUUUGUGCCAGACCGUGCUGGGCCAGAGCUACCAAGCCUCUGAGCCAGCAUGGCUCUUAGGCCUAGAAGGCACGGGCCGUGCCGGGCCGAACGGUUCUCCGGACCGGCCCCUCAAAAUUUUUAUUUUUAAAAAGCAUGUAAAAUUUAAAAUAUAAACAAUAAAAUUAUUUCUAUUUAAAUCAAUAUUUUAAUUGAAAAGUUAAAAUUUAUAAAAAUAAUUAUAAAAUAACAAAUAUAUAAAUUAUUUUGAAAAAUAUAUAAAUUUUUUUUUUAAAAAAAAAUUGAGAUGGUUUUUGGUCGCUGGCAGACCUCGAGAGAAGAGCUCCGGAAGAGAAGGGCCUUGUUGGCCCGGCUGGCACGAACCAAGUAGGUCGUGCCGUGUCGGGCCACGAGACUCUCCUCGGCCUGGCACGACCCAUGCCCAUUUUGGCCCUGGCUGUCGGGCCUAGGGGAAGAGACCCAGCACAGCCCGAAAUUAGGCGAAAACCUGUUGUCCUGGCGAGUUUAGAACAACAUAUGAUAAUGGCAGCUCAAAUCUGCAGAAAAAGAUUGACUUAGGGUUAAAGUUACUAUGCUUUUAGAAGUACAGGAGAGUUGGUGUUUCCAACUCUUCGGCCUUUCGAUCAACCCUUUUAAUCAUUUCUGAUCUUUGGAUUAAUAUUAUUAUCCCAUGGGGACCACUCAAUUCUAGAAAAAUCACUAUCAUCCCAACGCUAUAAUUCUUGAUCCAAGGUCAAAAAUUUAGAAGCACUAACUCUCUUAUGCUUUCGAAAACAUAGUAGCUCUACACCCUAAGAUAUCCAAAAAUAAAUACAAUAAGAUCGGGAAAGUUUCUAAGCUAUAUCAUAUGUCUUCAUUAGGAUAGAGGUACUCUCCAAAGAAGCUCUUCAACUUGGUCGCGCAAAUUUGGUAGCUUCUCAGGACACACAUCACAAAUGUCCUGAACAAAUUGAAACAAUUGAUAGUCAACUGCUUUGUUCUUUGCCCAUUCCCAAACAACAAAAGCAAAAGAAUAACGAAAUUUAAACGAUAUAAGAAUAGCCCCUAGCUUCACAAAUUUUUAAAACUUCUCAUCGGUCUCGUAGUUGUCGGUAGGGGUGUCAACGAGCCGAGCUUGAGCGAGCUAAGGUCGGCUCGUGUUUGGCUGGUUUCAUAAACGAUAUGAGCUUGCUCGUUAAAAUAUCGAGCCAAAAAAUUCAGUUCGUGUUCGGCUUGUUUAUUAAUAAGCCGAAUACGAGCUGGCUCACGAACAACAAGUUAAAAGAUUAGAAAAAAUAUAUAGAGGGAAUAAAUUUAUGAUCUCUUAUCCAUUAAACAUUAGUACAUAUAAAUUAGUCUUUUUAUAAUUGUGUUGGGCUCUAUAUUUAGAUUGGACUAAAAAUCAAAGAAUGAAAAUCUGUAUUAUAUAUAUAAUUAUUUAUUUAUAUAUAUAAAUAUAAAAUAUAUGAACACGAGUUGAGCUGUUAUCGAGCCGAACACGAGCAAGCUGACGUCAGCUCAUGUUCGGCUCGUUUAUUAACCAAACUGAAAAAACUCAGCUCGUUUACUAAACGAGCGAUUCGAUCUCGAGCUCAUUUCAAGCCGAACACGAGCUGACUCGCGAACGGCAAGCUGGAUUGCCACCCCUAGUUGUUAGCAUCCGAACCCCAGCUUAGUAGUUCUAGUUAUGCAAAUACAAAAUAGGGUGGCCUACAAUAAGCUCAUGUAUUACUAUCUGUAAUCAAAGCAAACAACUAAAUGAUGUGUUUGGAGACUCCAUAAACUUUGACGUAUUCGUCAAAGCCACUCAAAACUCCGAAAUUUAGAAUGCGUAGCUGAUCAUGUGGCUGUGAAACGCAACUUUUUACCCUCUUAGUAUCUGUAGUCCUUUUCUACUACAAUAUGUACAUACGAAGCAUCCAAACAGGACCAAAUAUGAACAUUAUUGACAGAAAAGUAAGAAUUUUAUAACUCAAUAAUUCGAAAGUAAUGAAUAAUAGCAAACGGAAGCUAAGAAUAUUCACCUUGGAGAAAUUUGAGGUGCAUUGUACACGAAUCAGAUAAUACCACAAUAAAGAACCCAACUUCACCAAUGUAGAACAUCUGAUAAUAUGCAACUAGCUUUCCCUAGUAGCCAAAUGCGAAUUCACCAAUAAUCACUGCAAGAACAACCACCGUCUUUACACGAUUCCACCAAACAGACCCUUGUUUUCAUACUUGUUUUCAUACGAUUUCAUCGAAGGGACCCUUAUUUUCAAAAUUUUUUUAUUUUGAGAUGAGCCAGUAAUAAUAUAUUUUAUAUGAUUUCACUGAAUAGACCCUUAUUUAAUUGUGCCUUGAACAAAACUAGAGACUUGGAAAAUUUCACUGGAUACUUACCUACUAAACAAUUUGAACGCAACCAUUGGACCAUUGCACCGUAAACAGACUCCAAAAUAUAUAUAAAAAAUAAAAUUUUAAAAGUAUAAUAAAUUAUUAAAUAUUUUAUAUUAUAUUAUAUUAUGUUUUACUGUUUAAUCAUCAAACACUCCAUUAAUUAUAUAAUACACCUUGUGGUGCGUGAAAAAUUAAUAUGCACCAAGUACAAGCAAAAAUUUCUCCACUCUUUUCUGAGUGCUAAAGCCAUCAGUAAGUGAGGGAUUCCCACAUGCAUAAUAAACAUUUUGGAUGUGUCCAUUGCAUUGUAAGCCUAUUAUAAAAUAUGCAUAAAAAAUAAAAUUUCAAUAGUAGAAUAAAUUAUUUAAGUAUUUUUAUUAUAUCAUCUUUUAUUUUACAGUAUUAUUCAUCAAAUACUCCACCAAUCAUAUAAUAUUUUGUGCAGUAUAUAAAAAAUUAAUAUACACCAAGUGUAAAAAAAAAUUUCUCCGCUUUUGGAAUUAUGUACUGAACAUUCUCUGCACCGAGUGUAUUUACGUACAUACAUCUCGUGCUUUACAUUCCUCAAUUGUGAUUUUCAAAUUAAUUCAUGAAAUAUAAUCUAAAUUAUUAGACUAAUAAAUCAGUUAUAUUUAAUUAACUUUCAAUACUGAAACAUUAGUUAUUAUACAAUAUAAGUUGCAGUGUAUGUAGUAAUACGCACCACGUGAAUGCAAUAGUUUCUCUUUUACCGAUCAAUUUUAACAAGAUAAAGACACCUUCACCUAUACUUGCCCAGCGCGAGCCCUUUAUUAACGUCGCAUCCAACUCCCUCGCCUCAUCAAUUCGAGCCUCCAAAAGCAAAACCCUGUACACCUUUUCCCUCAACCGUCCGUCGAUCAGGAUCCGAUCCAGCGCCAUCUCCCUCAGAGCCCUUUGGGCAUCGAGCAUCCUCCCGAACCUGCAAAACCCUCCGAUGGCGAUCUCAUACGCCUUGUGAAAAAAGUGGAAAAGAAAAACCUAAAAUUAGGCGAAAAUCCGCUGUCCUGGCGAGUUUAGAGGAAGAAUAACGGCAGUUCAAAUUCUGCAGAAGAAGAUUGACUGAGGGCUGAGGGAGGAGACAAUGGCGGCAGGGAAAAGGUUCGAAUCCGAUACCUUAAUACCGUCGUCUGUAUCCAGUGUAAAAUGACCGUAAAUUCCUGCAUAUAACAACAUCAAAAUAAUCCAAAAGAUAUCCAAAAAUAAAUGCAAUAAGAUCGGGAAAGUUUCUAGACUAUACUGAGAGCUAAGUUGUUUGGGAACUACAAAAAGCACCGACCAUUCCCGUCAAGACGAUUACAUGUCUUCAUUAGGAUAUAGGUACUCUUCAAAGGAGCUCUUCAACUUGGUCCUGCAAAUUUGUGUAGCUUCUCAGGACACACAUCGCAAAUGUCCUGAAUAAUAAAUUGAAACGAUUGAUAGUCAACUGUUUCACAAAUUUUUUAAACUUCUCAUCAGUCUGGUAGUUGUCAGUAGGAGUAUCAACGACCUGAGCACGAGCGAGCUAGGGUCGACUCGUGUUCCACUUGUUUCAUAAACGAGCCGAGCACUAGCUGGAUUGUUAAAGUACCAAGCCUAAAAAUUCAGCUCGUACUCGGCUCGUUUAUUACGUGAGCGGUUGGAUCUCAAGCUCAUUUCAAGCCGAACAUGAGCUGGUUCGCGAACAGCGAGCUAGAUUGCCACCCCUAGUUGUCAACAUCCAAAUGCCAGCUUAGUAGUCCUAGCUCCGCAAAUACAAAACAGUGGCCUACAAUAAGCUCAUGCAUUACUAUCUAUAAUCAAAGCAAACAACUAAUGAUGAGUUUGGAUACUCCAUAAACUUUGACUUAUUUGUCAAAGCCACUCAAAACUCCCAAGUUUAAAAUACGUAGCUAUGCGUCUGUGAAAUGCAACUUUUUACCAUCUUAGCAUCUAUAGUCCUUUCCUACUACAAUAAGUACAUACAAAGCAUCCAAACGGGACCAAAUAUGAACAUUAUUGACAGAAAAGUAAGAAUUUUAUGACUCGAUAAUUUGAAAGUAACGAAUAAUAGCAAAGGGAAGCUAAGACUAUUCACCUUGGAGAAAUUUGGUGCAUAGUUCACAAAUCAGAUAAUACCAUGAUGAAAUAUUGUAUACGGACCCACGUAGUAUCCUUCUCUGCUUCAGCCACCGGAAGAAUUUCCAAUGUAACCAGUGACAUGAUAUGAUAUAUAACGAAUUCUUUCCAACGAAUUUCUAUUGUAACCAGCACUUACGCAUCAUCUCUCACGUCAAAUAACCCAACUUCACCAAUGUAGAAGCCAAAUGCAAAUUCACCAAUAAUCCCCACAAGAACAACCACCGUCUCUAAAAUGAUGAAAACGGGUAGUGUCCCUCAAAAUUAUGUCCCGCUCCUCGAUCUUUGAAAUGAACUUGGCAGCGUUGUGGCAAUCCCCGCAUACCCUAAGGUUCUUGAACACUCUUAGGGUAGUCCCAGGUGAUGUACUAAUCAGCCCAAAAGCAAUAGCAAGCUUCUCGCUGUGCCUCAUCAGCAUCAGUUCCUUCAGUUCCUCCCCCACAUCUUGCAAUACAUAAUUUAAAUUGGGCACGUACCCCAUUUGUUUCAUCCUCGUCGCUAACUUGGACAAUUUUUCAUGGAUCAAAUCGAGCUGAGAGUGAACCCUAUCGUUCGACCUGAACUCAUGCAUUACACCUUUUAUCUCAAUCCAGCUAUAUCCAGGGUUUUUCACUACCUCAUUCUCCUUCAUCAACUUUCUAACUCUGGAUACAUCGCACCACCGAUUCACCGCGGCAUAAAGAUUGGCCAACUGGACAUAAGCCCCUGCACCUUGUGGGUCCAACUCAAUCAGCUUUUGAGCGGCAAACUCCGCGAAUUCCAAAUUCUUGUAGGUCCUACAAGCACCCAAUAAGGUUCCAUAGACCGCGGGGUACGGUUUAAACGGCAUUGAACGGAUCAAUUGAACAGCUUUCGCAAGUGAGCCGGCUCGGCAGAGAAGAUCGACCAUGCAAGAAUAAUGGUCGGGCUGUGGCUCAACAUUAUAAACGUUCUUCAUCGACUCAAAGCAUUCGAUCCCGUACUCGACCAGCCCUGCAUGGUUGCAAGCAGAUAAAACUGCCACAAAGGUGAUCCAAUUCGGCUCAACUCCCUCUCCCUUCAUUUUCUCGAACAAAUCUAGAGCUUUAACUCCGUACCCAUGUUGCGCAUACCCGGAAAUCAUUGCAUUCCAUGCAACGACAUCUUUCCUAUGCAUUUCACCGAACAGCUUACAUGCGUCCUCCAAAUCCCCACACUUACAAUACAUGCUGACCAGAGAAGUCCCAACCGUCGUAAUCAGACCAAGGGGCAACUUCGAAACGAAUUGAUGGAUCUGCUUUCCCAAACCCAAAGAUGACAAAUUGCUGCAACCAAGCAGAGCACUGCUCAAAGUAGACGCAUUUGGCCG
Molecule: long non-coding RNA, 6909 nt
Filed under: Ananas comosus (pineapple)
Lineage: Eukaryota; Viridiplantae; Streptophyta; Magnoliopsida; Poales; Bromeliaceae
Description: long non-coding RNA (ACOM_LNC032982)
Source: RNAcentral